AGGGUUUGAUUAUGGCUCAGGAUGAACGCUGGCGGCGUGCCUAAUACAUGCAAGUCGAACGCGAGCAGCAAUGCUCGAGUGGCGAACGGGUGAGUAAUACAUAAGUAACCUGCCCUAGACAGGGGGAUAACUGCUGGAAACGGCAGCUAAGACCGCAUAGGUAUGGACACUGCAUGGUGACCAUAUUAAAAGUGCCAAGGCACUGGUAGAGGAUGGACUUAUGGCGCAUUAGCUGGUUGGUGAGGUAACGGCUCACCAAGGCGACGAUGCGUAGCCGACCUGAGAGGGUGACCGGCCACACUGGGACUGAGACACGGCCCAG
This 322-nucleotide ribosomal RNA is filed under the name uncultured bacterium. Its description in RNAcentral is "bacterial SSU rRNA". It matches the Rfam family "Bacterial small subunit ribosomal RNA", at positions 8 to 334 of the family's 1533-position model. The record is from RNAcentral.